UCCUUCUUGCCUUCUGUUUAAUCCUUUUUGCUUUGAAAGGAUGUGCUUAUUCUUUUUAUAUCUAGACUUAUAAAGGACUGUGCACAUGUGCAGUGAAGGCAGUGCAGCAAUAUUGCCGAAGGCCUUUGGUGAACCAUCCGUACUUCCCAGACGGCAAACUGAGUCAUGAGAAGGGAUCUGCUCAAGGGCAGUUUUCUGAAGCCUGCAACUAACAACAUUGUAAAUGGACUACAGUUACAAUGUGGGUGGGAAAACUGAGGCCGGCAUGGGGGGUAGGGAGAGGAGUUAUUUAACAGGUACAGGGUGCAGCACUGGUCCUCUAGGCUCCAAGGUUUUCACAGGAAAAUUCUUCCUCGGAGGUCCCAGAAAAAUUGCAUUUUUGUAAUUGUGCUGAAGUUUCACAUUAGCAUUGUUCUCACCUAGCUAAGAGCAUAGUAUAUCAUGACAAAGGUAGGGCAGGAAGGUUGCCAGGACUUUGAUGAAGUUCAAAAUUUUUUUUGCACUCUUGAUAUCUGUUGCACUUCCCUGGGUCUGAACACAGAUUAUCUAGGUCAAUUCAAUUUCUUUGGAAGGAAACAAUUUUAAAGUUGCAAGCAGAUAUCUCUACUACUUGUGUACAUUCUGUGGGAUUUCAGCUGGCAUCUAGUGCACAUUUAAUGACGUGCAGGCUUGUGAUGUUGAUCUGUGGUCAAUCAGGGAUCAGUUACAAGCAGUUGAAUAAGUUGUCUUAAUUAGUGUUAUUUUAAUACAGCCAAACCAAAAGUUUUGAAGUUUUGUUUCUAUUUGAUAGUUGUGUAGUGUCUAUAAUAUUACUAUAAUCAAUUUCUCAAUAUUUUCAGUUUUCCUGCUCUCCAUACAAAAUAAAAAUAUUUCUCUCCAAUUAAAGAGUGACUACGGACUGGGUAUUAGAUGAUAUCUGGAAACCUUACUGUUUACUCUAACAAUCCUUAUAUAUGACACUAAUGAUUUAGUGAUGUUGAGUAUCUUUUCAUGUGUGUGUUGGCCAUCUCUACAUCUUUUUUAAGAAGAUUUUUAGUUUGAUGUCAUCCCAUUUGUUUGCUUCUGUUUCCCUUGCCUGAGGAGACAUACCCUUCAAAAUACUGCUCUGACUAGUGUCAAAGAACAUACUACCUGUUUGCUUCCAGGAGUUCUAUGGUUUUAGGUCUUACAUUUAAGUUUGGAUUUAUUAAUCCAUUUUGAGUUUAUUUUUGUAUAUGAUGUGAGAAGGUAGUUUAGUUUGAUUCUUUUGCAUAUAACUGUCCAGUUUUCUCCACACCAUUUAUUGAAAAGACUGUUUUUUCCUUAUGGUAUUUUCUUGCAUCCUUUGCCAUAGGUUAAUUGCUCAUAUAAGUGUGGGUUUAUUUCUGGGCUCUCUAUUCUGUUCCAUUAAUCAAUGUCUGUUUUGUGCCAGCAUCAUACUGUUUUGAUGACUAAAGCUUUGUAGUAUAGUUUGAAAUCAGGGAGCACAAUACCUCUUGUUUUGUUCUUUUUUUCUUAAGAUUGUUUUGGCUGGUCAGGGUCUUCUGUAUUUCUGUACAAAAUUUAGAAUCAUUCUAGUCCUGAGGAAAAUGCCAUUGGUAUUUUGAUAGGAAUUGCAUUGAAUCUGUAGAUUCCUUGGGCAGUGUGGUUAUUUUAACAAUAUUCUUCUAAUCCUUGCGAUUUUUAUCAUGGAAAUGUUCAAGUAUGCACAAAAGUAGAGAGAAUACUAUAAUCAACUAUCAUAUCACUUCAACCCUACAUAAUUCAGUCUGCAUUUCUAAACAAGAACAUUUUCUUACACAAGCAGAACACCAAUGCUACCCUUAAUGAAAUUCUUAAGAGUUCUCAUCACAAGACACUUUUUUUUCUUCUGUUUCUAUACAAGAAGGUGGCUGUUCUUGGGUAGAACCUAUUGUAAUCAUUUCAUGAUGUAUGUGAGUCAAAUCAUGAUGCACUAUACCUUAGACUUACACAGUGCUGUAUGUCAAUUAUAUCUCAAUAUUGGAAUUAAAAAAGGUAGCUCCCUCCUACAGGUGCACACUAAAAUGAAAAGCUACUGCAUUUGACCCCCACACAUAGAGCGAACCCCACCACCCUCUGCCUGGUUUGAAAAGAUGAACAAGGAAAUCUAGGAAAUGCUAGGGCUACUUCCGAGUGCCUGUGACAACAGAAACACACCCAUGAUUACAAAUGAGCCCAGGAGCCUGGCGUCCAGGUAGUUGGUGCUGGACCCUGUGGGGCCCAUAGUUGGGAAAGGAGAGGGAAGGCUUUCUGCGUUCAGGCUCAGAUGGCAUGAGAAACCUGUCCUGGGGAAGGAGGGGCUCCCAUCCCUAGGGCUGUGUUUCUGGGGUGUCACUGUCCUCUGGCUCAUGCCUCCUACCCACCACAUCCCUCCAUUUCCAGAAAGUGCUUCUUAGGCACUCCCUACACAUUCCCACUCCAUCUACUUGCUGAUGGCUAAAAUCCCCCGAAGGUGAGAAAACUUGUCAAUCUCUAAUCAGUGAUGAGAUAUAUAAAAGCAAACACCUGAUGGAGAUGAAGCACUGGCCUCACUUACCCUGAGAUCUAAUCAGCCGGCAAGUGUUCGGGGUUGAGAUGAGAACUUUUCCUCAUAAGAGGGGAAGAAAGUGGUGGGGGCUGUGCCUAGAAAGCAGAAGCUGCUGCUCCUGAGUCGUUCUGGUCUGUGUGUGGACCAGCAAAGGCCUUUCUCGCUUCUGUGGCCUCUCCUGUCUAAGGCAGGGAAGCCCCUAAUGGGAAACCCUGAGAUAAGCUUUUGAAGCAAGAAGCCUUCCCAUUAUUUUUGGCCAGUGGAAAUCAAUUUCAUUCCUCUACAGUAUGAGGUUUUCCUCUCUUCAAGUAUGACGGGGGAAGAGGCCUCAGAUUCCGGGGAGGCAAGCUAUGUCUUCCCUGCCUACUGAGGGGCUGGGAUGUGGCCACCUCAUUUUGGAAGCUGUAGCAGUUCAGUUUUCCUCUCCGGCUCUGUUACAUAGAGACUAGGUCUGAAUAAGUGAAACAGGCAAUCUCUGCUAUCUCAUACAUAAUGUUUUUACCUUGGAUUAACCAGGUGCUUUUAGAUCUUUGCUCUUUACCAUAAAUUAGCUGAACUGUCUUACAUAUAGUAUUAGACAUAAGGUAAGCAGUAUAUAAUUUUGCUCCAUGACCCAAACAGUGCCUUGUACAAACUUGCUUUGUGCCAGGGAUCUAAGAGAGUCUGAGCUAUGUUUUAAGUGUAUUUGUAAAUGGCUUGGAUGGAGGGGGAAUAAAUUAAGAUGACUGUAAGGGGAGGUAUCGAGUAGCCACAUUCCUGCCUCUCUUGCCCUUACAGUCACUGUUGAAAUCAUCAGCCCAUUGAGGAUGUGUUUUUACCUCUCAGAAUUGUUCACAAGCUAUUAAAAUAUUUGCAGUUAUAGAGGCUAAAUACCAGAUGCUUCCCCUCCCUCUGAGUAUGGAGAUGUUGUUAAAAUGUACAGGGACUUACUGAAUUGCUAAUAAGUGUUGAACUCUUAAAAGCGCUUUAGAAAAAUUAUGACCCGAUGAACAGUUUGCAUCUGCCUUCAAAAAAUGGGUUAAGUUUUUCCUUCAUUAGACUUUCAUCUGCGUCAGAAGAUAAAUAACAAUAAUGCUGUGAUACUGGGCCAAGGACAUUAGUGGUCUAGUAAUGAAGCAGAGGGAGGCUGGAAAAUUCUGAAAAUCUUGGCCAGGGAACAGGAUCCAGAAUCCAGAAGGCCAGAGAAUCAGUAGCAGUGACUUUAGUAGGUGAUUAUGGAAUCCAGGAUCUCUAGAGUUGGUGCAGGCUGCAAACGCGUUCUUGAAGGUUUUAGCUGAUUUUCUAAUCUUUUUAGCCUUUAAAGUGGGUGUGUGUUGAGAAAAGUUAGUAUCUUUCCAGAUUGGAGGUUAGUGCACAGGGAUUCAUGCUGUGGUUUUCAAUUCAUAGCCAUGGAACCAGCAGCAUCAGCAUCAUUCAGGUGUUGGCAAAAGUUCAAUUAACUAUCAAGAAGAAAAAAGGGAAUUUUAUUCAAGCCAAACUGGGGAUUAUACCCUGGGAAGCAGAUUCUCAGAAAGCUCUGAGAACUGUUUGGCCUGUUAGAGGUUGAAGGCAUAGUCAUGUACGUUUUUGAGUCAAAGGGUCGUACAUCAAAAUAACAUACUGAUAUUUUACAUAAAGCUCACCAAGGAUAUGUGGUCCAGGUAAACAUGUACAAAGUGAACAGCAAGUCACUGCGACUCCCUACAAACCUGGGUAAGAACACUCUUCUUUUAAGAAGUUGCAUUGCUGGAGUCAGAAGAAAGAAAAAAAAUGAUCUUGAUGGUUGAGCAGGCACUGCCAUGUUUGAGGAGCCCUGGUUAAUGGCUAACACAGAUGCACACUGAACACUAGGCAGGGGGGCCCAAAGGCACAUGCACAGAAUUUUAUGUUUAGUUUUAUCUUGUCCUCCCUUAAAACACAAAUUUUGUUUCAUCACAUAAUUGUUAGAAAUGCAAAUUCUUAGGCCGAGAUCAGACUUACUGAAUUAGCUGUUUUAACGUUUCCAGGUGAUUCUGAUCCCUGCCUAGGUAGGAGCACCAACUGUCUAUGUGCCUUCAGUUGAUUCCACCCAGUGGCAUAUGGGAUUUCAGUAGUCUUGGUGAAGAGGUGAAGAUGAGAGCUUGGUUUGUAAGCUCCCAGGUAGUGAUUAAAUAAAUAGGUGGUUGAGUUUUGAUGGCUAAAGUUGGCUACAGAUUCAACAACAAAAUUUCUUUUUUCUAAAAAUCUGGAAGAUAGCUUGCCUCUUCAGUAUGAAAUAUUCUCAAACCCAAGAAGGAAAGUACUGACUUCAAAAGGAAAAGAAAAAAGGAAGGGUCUGGUAAACACCAGGACACACAUGACUAGUUUUAGUUGACAAUACAAAAAUCACGCACCCCAAAGAAAACUUAUUUGAUGGUAUUAAAUGAAAUUUUAUCCACAUGAGAGGAUAUGCAAACUAUAUAUAUGGAUGGAUAAUCACUGUGAAAUUGUUGAAUUUUGGUAAAAAGUAAUUUUCAUUUGUGGAGAUUAACAUUUUUCACUUCUUACCAGCUCAGAGGCCUCCUAGCAGGCAAAGUCACAUAAUUUUUAGUCAUUUUAAGCAUUGGAUCAGUUAUGUAACAGGUCUGUUAUGAGCAUCAAAUGGAUAAAGAUGAAAUGUAAAGCCCUCUUGC
Molecule: long non-coding RNA, 5157 nt
Filed under: Sus scrofa (pig)
Lineage: Eukaryota; Metazoa; Chordata; Mammalia; Artiodactyla; Suidae
Description: lncRNA (ENSSSCG00000057459.1)
Source: RNAcentral